This 253-nucleotide ribosomal RNA is filed under the name uncultured bacterium. RNAcentral's name for it is "partial 16S ribosomal RNA". It matches the Rfam family "Bacterial small subunit ribosomal RNA", at positions 524 to 776 of the family's 1533-position model. The record is from RNAcentral.
UACGAAGGGGGCUAGCGUUGCUCGGAAUUACUGGGCGUAAAGCGCACGUAGGCGGCUUCUUAAGUCGGUGGUGAAAUCCUGGAGCUCAACUCCAGAACUGCCUUCGAUACUGGGAAGCUCGAGUCCGGGAGAGGUGAGUGGAACUGCGAGUGUAGAGGUGAAAUUCGUAGAUAUUCGCAAGAACACCAGUGGCGAAGGCGGCUCACUGGACUGGUAUUGACGCUGAGGUGCGAAAGCGUGGGGAGCAAACAGG